CAAGUCGAACGAUUACUAACAGGUAGCAAUAUUUGUUAGUGAGAGUGGCGCAAGGGUGCGUAACACGUGGGUAAUUUGCCGUAAAGUCUGGAAUAACUUGCUGAAAGGCGAGCUAAUACCGGAUGUGAUUGCUGGGGGGCAUCCUCUGGCACUUAAAGUUGGGGACCGUAAGGCCUGACACUUUUCGAUAAGCCCGCGGCCUAUCAGCUAGUUGGUGAGGUAACGGCUCACCAAGGCUAAGACGGGUAGCUGGUCUGAGAGGACGACCAGCCACACUGGAACUGAGACACGGUCCAGACACCUACGGGUGGCAGCAGUCGAGAAUUUUUCUCAAUGGGGGAAACCCUGAAGGAGCGACGCCGCGUGGGGGAUGAAUGGCUUCGGCCCGUAAACCCCUGUCAUUUGCGAUCAAACCUUACGAUCUAAUAAGUCGUGAGCUGAUAGUAGCGAAAGAGGAAGGGACGGCUAACUCUGUGCCAGCAGCCGCGGUAAUACGAAGGGUGCUAGCGUUGUUCGGAAUCACUGGGCGUAAAGCGCGCGUAGGCGGCGAACCAAGUCAGAGGUGAAAUCCCACAGCUUAACUGUGGAACUGCCUUUGAAACUGGUUUGCUAGAGUGUCGGAGGGGAUGGCGGAAUUCCUAAUGUAGAGGUGAAAUUCGUAGAUAUUAGGAGGAACACCGGUGGCGAAGGCGGCCAUCUGGACGACAACUGACGCUGAGGCGCGAAAGCGUGGGGAUCAAACAGGAUUAGAUACCCUGGUAGUCCACGCUGUAAACGAUGGGUGCUAGCUGUUCGGGGGUUACCCCUGAGUGGCGCAGCUAACGCGUUAAGCACCCCGCCUGGGGAGUACGGUCGCAAGAUUAAAACUCAAAGAAAUUGACGGGGACCCGCACAAGCGGUGGAACAUGUGGUUUAAUUCGAGGCAACGCGAAGAACCUUACCAGGGUUUGACAUGCUCUUCAUAGGAUCCCCAAAAGGAUCCGUCAGUUCGGCUGGAAGAUGCACAGGUGCUGCAUGGCUGUCGUCAGCUCGCGUCGUGAGAUGUUGGGUUAAGUCCCGCAACGAGCGCAACCCUCAUCCUUUGUUGCUAACAGGUAAUGCUGAGAACUCUAAGGAAACUGCCGGUGAUAAGCCGGAGGAAGGUGGGGAUGACGUCAAGUCCUCAUGGCCCUUACACCCUGGGCUACACACGUGUUACAAUGGCGAUGACAAUGGGCAGCUAACCCGCGAGGGCAAGCGAAUCCCCAAAAGUCGCCUCAGUUUGGAUUGUACUCUGCAACUCGAGUACAUGAAAUUGGAGUCGCUAGUAAUCGUAGAUCAGCACGCUACGGUGAAUACGUUCCCGGGUCUUGUACACACCGCCCGUCACACCAUGGGAGUUGGUUCUACCUUAAGUCGCCGCGCUAACCGCAAGGAAGCAAGCGCCCACGGUAGGGUCAGUGACUGGGGUGA
RNAcentral lists this ribosomal RNA (1452 nucleotides) under metagenome. RNAcentral's name for it is "bacterial SSU rRNA". It matches the Rfam family "Bacterial small subunit ribosomal RNA". The record is from RNAcentral.